UUUCCGGGUUUGAUCAAGGCAUCGCGUCCUUCCUCGGGGACGUCGACGCCGACGAGGAGGGGAGGAGCCUUAGGGCAGUUGGGGAGGACGACGUCAAGGCCAAGGUCAGGAACAAGAGGAGCAGGGAGAGGGGCGUCAAGAGGAGGGUCGAGCUCGAGAAGAGGGAAGCCGCCGGCGGGCAGGCCGCGAAGAAGGGC
Molecule: small nuclear RNA, 197 nt
Filed under: Triparma pacifica
Lineage: Eukaryota; Bolidophyceae; Parmales; Triparmaceae
Description: partial Dictyostelium signal recognition particle
Source: RNAcentral